GACGAACGCUGGCGGCGUGCCUAAUACAUGCAAGUAGAACGCUGAAGGAGGAGCUUGCUUCUCCGGAUGAGUUGCGAACGGGUGAGUAACGCGUAGGUAACCUGCCUGGUAGCGGGGGAUAACUAUUGGAAACGAUAGCUAAUACCGCAUAAUAGUAGAUGUUGCAUGACAUUUGCUUAAAAGGUGCAAUUGCAUCACUACCAGAUGGACCUGCGUUGUAUUAGCUAGUUGGUGGGGUAACGGCUCACCAAGGCGACGAUACAUAGCCGACCUGAGAGGGUGAUCGGCCACACUGGGACUGAGACACGGCCCAGACUCCUACGGGAGGCAGCAGUAGGGAAUCUUCGGCAAUGGACGGAAGUCUGACCGAGCAACGCCGCGUGAGUGAAGAAGGUUUUCGGAUCGUAAAGCUCUGUUGUAAGAGAAGAACGAGUGUGAGAGUGGAAAGUUCACACUGUGACGGUAUCUUACCAGAAAGGGACGGCUAACUACGUGCCAGCAGCCGCGGUAAUACGUAGGUCCCGAGCGUUGUCCGGAUUUAUUGGGCGUAAAGCGAGCGCAGGCGGUUAGAUAAGUCUGAAGUUAAAGGCUGUGGCUUAACCAUAGUACGCUUUGGAAACUGUUUAACUUGAGUGCAAGAGGGGAGAGUGGAAUUCCAUGUGUAGCGGUGAAAUGCGUAGAUAUAUGGAGGAACACCGGUGGCGAAAGCGGCUCUCUGGCUUGUAACUGACGCUGAGGCUCGAAAGCGUGGGGAGCAAACAGG
RNAcentral lists this ribosomal RNA (763 nucleotides) under uncultured Streptococcus sp. RNAcentral's name for it is "bacterial SSU rRNA". It matches the Rfam family "Bacterial small subunit ribosomal RNA", at positions 28 to 776 of the family's 1533-position model. Lineage: Bacteria; Bacillati; Bacillota; Bacilli; Lactobacillales; Streptococcaceae. The record is from RNAcentral.